CGUCGAACGCUGGCGGCGUGCCUAAUACAUGCAAGUAGAACGCUGAAGAGAGGAGCUUGCUCUUCUUGGAUGAGUUGCGAACGGGUGAGUAACGCGUAGGUAACCUGCCUGGUAGCGGGGGAUAACUAUUGGAAACGAUAGCUAAUACCGCAUAAAAUUGAUUAUUGCAUGAUAAUUAAUUGAAAGAUGCAACUGCAUCACUACCAGAUGGACCUGCGUUGUAUUAGCUAGUUGGUAAGGUAACGGCUUACCAAGGCAACGAUGCGUAGCCGACCUGAGAGGGUGAUCGGCCACACUGGAACUGAGACACGGUCCAGACUCCUACGGGAGGCAGCAGUAGGGAAUCUUCCGCAAUGGGCGAAAGCCUGACGGAGCAACGCCGCGUGAGUGAUGAAGGUCUUCGGAUCGUAAAACUCUGUUAUUAGGGAAGAAUAAAUGUGUAAGUAACUAUGCACGUCUUGACGGUACCUAAUCAGAAAGCCACGGCUAACUACGUGCCAGCAGCCGCGGUAAUACGUAGGUGGCAAGCGUUAUCCGGAAUUAUUGGGCGUAAAGCGCGCGUAGGCGGUUUUUUAAGUCUGAUGUGAAAGCCCACGGCUCAACCGUGGAGGGUCAUUGGAAACUGGAAAACUUGAGUGCAGAAGAGGAAAGUGGAAUUCCAUGUGUAGCGGUGAAAUGCGCAGAGAUAUGGAGGAACACCAGUGGCGAAGGCGACUUUCUGGUCUGUAACUGACGCUGAUGUGCGAAAGCGUGGGGAUCAAACAGGAUUAGAUACCCUGGUAGUCCACGCCGUAAACGAUGAGUGCUAAGUGUUAGGGGGUUUCCGCCCCUUAGUGCUGCAGCUAACGCAUUAAGCACUCCGCCUGGGGAGUACGACCGCAAGGUUGAAACUCAAAGGAAUUGACGGGGACCCGCACAAGCGGUGGAGCAUGUGGUUUAAUUCGAAGNCACGCGAAGAACCUUACCAAAUCUUGACAUCCUCUGACCCCUCUAGAGAUAGAGUUUUCCCCUUCGGGGGACAGAGUGACAGGUGGUGCAUGGUUGUCGUCAGCUCGUGUCGUGAGAUGUUGGGUUAAGUCCCGCAACGAGCGCAACCCUUAAGCUUAGUUGCCAUCAUUAAGUUGGGCACUCUAAGUUGACUGCCGGUGACAAACCGGAGGAAGGUGGGGAUGACGUCAAAUCAUCAUGCCCCUUAUGAUUUGGGCUACACACGUGCUACAAUGGACAAUACAAAGGGCAGCGAAACCGCGAGGUCAAGCAAAUCCCAUAAAGUUGUUCUCAGUUCGGAUUGUAGUCUGCAACUCGACUAUAUGAAGCUGGAAUCGCUAGUAAUCGUAGAUCAGCAUGCUACGGUGAAUACGUUCCCGGGUCU
Molecule: ribosomal RNA, 1372 nt
Filed under: uncultured bacterium
Lineage: Bacteria
Description: bacterial SSU rRNA
Rfam family: Bacterial small subunit ribosomal RNA
Source: RNAcentral